CAGAUUCAGAGCCCCAGCCUGUUCAUAAAAAAAAUCAGAUGAAUUUUGUCUGCGGAACAUUCUGCAAAAAUAUCUGACCAGGAAAGAUAAAUAAGAUGCAAAAAGUCACACACACAGGAAAUGAUUAAUACAAUUUUAUGGCAUCAAAAGAUACCAUCGAUAAAGUAAAACACAAGUCACGAACUAGGGGAAAGAAGAUGAGGUAACAUCCAAAAUACAUGAAGAAAUCUUGUAAGUCUAUUAAAAGACUAUACGACCUAACAGAAAGAAGCAGCAAAAGCCAUGAAAAGGAAAAGAAGGACAAAACUAUCUGAAGCCCUGUAAAAAGUCUGAGUCAUUUCUGCUCUAUUUCUUUCCCUACGAAUGGUAAGAGCUGGGGAUUGUGGUAUGUGCCUUUAGUCCUAGCUACUCCGGAGGCUGAGGCAGGAGGAUCACCUGAGCCCAGGACUUUGAGGCCGCUGUAAGCUAUGAUCAUGCCACUGCACUCCAGCUCAGGCAACAGUGAGACCCGGUCUCAACAAACAAAAGAAAAUAAAAGAAUGGUAGACAAGGAAAGCAGUUGAACAGCUAUGCGAGAAGCCUACUUUCUCUUCAUGUAACACGUUGGCCUAAGAGAUCUAUAGAGCUUUUUAAAAACAAAGAAGGCAGCAAGAUUUAAAAUAAUAAAACCAGCAAUAGGUAUUUUUAAAAGUGAGAGAAACUAUCAGAGAGCUGUAGCAGAAAAGCAAGUUAAAAAUAAAGGAAACAGAAAAGGAACUGAUACAGCUGAUUUGAUACUGGAAAAAUCACCCAGGAGGCAGCGUGGACAAUGGAUUGGAGAAGGGCGAACAUUCAGUCAGAGACUUUGCUUACUGUAAAUUAGAGGGAGCAAAUUGGAGGAGAAAUGACAAAAGAAACAGAAAAAAUGUUUAAUCAGACAAAGGAACUAAAAAACCUCAGUCUUAAUUAGAAGAUGGUCAAACAAAUCUCUUAACUGAUGUUCACAAUGAUGGUUUCAAGUCAUCUAAGGAAUGGGAGAAAAUACAACUGGUGAAUUGCAAAGAUAUUAAGAAAUUUUUUUCAUGACCUCCAAAGAAUAAAAUUAUAAAACUUAUUCUUACCUUUUUGUUUCCUGUAAACGUGUGGUAUAUUCCCCUUGUCCCUCACGACAAACUUCUCUAUGAUUUCCUCAAUGGUUAAGGCCCCAAAUGAUACAUUAAAAAAUAUACAUUUGUUUUAUAUUUUCAAAGUAUUCUUAAUCUUUAAUUAGGAACUACACUGAAACUCUGUUGUCAAUGCCCCUACGAAGACUGAAAGAGAUGUGAUGGUUUUAAGACUGGUGCCUAUGGUCAAAAGAAUAUACUGACUGCUUCCAAAUGUCUAUAAAUAAAUUAUGGUUUCUUAAAGGCCCAUGAAAUGAAA
RNAcentral lists this long non-coding RNA (1401 nucleotides) under Homo sapiens (human). RNAcentral describes it as "novel transcript, antisense to CD36". Lineage: Eukaryota; Metazoa; Chordata; Mammalia; Primates; Hominidae. The record is from RNAcentral.